Paramuricea clavata is the source of this 404-nucleotide non-coding RNA. Lineage: Eukaryota; Metazoa; Cnidaria; Anthozoa; Malacalcyonacea; Plexauridae. The record is from the annotation of a GenBank genome assembly.
UGCCGUUGUUGUUGUUGAUGAUAUUGUCGUUGCUGCCGUUGAUGAUAUUGUCGUUGCUGCCGUUGUUGUUGUUGAUGAUAUUGUCGUUGUUGUUGUUGUUGAUGAUAUUGUCGUUGUUGUUGUUGUUGUUGAUGAUAUUGUCGUUGUUGUUGUUGAUGAUAUUGUCGUUGUUGUUGUUGAUGAUAUUGUCGUUGUUGUUGUUGAUGAUAUUGUCGUUGUUGUUGUCGUUGUUGUUGUUGAUGAUAUUGUCGUCGUCGUCGUCGGACGUCGUCGGACGUCGUCGUCGUUGUUAUCGUACGUUGUUGUUGUUAUCGUACGUUGUUGUCGAUGGCCUUGUUUAUGUCGUCGUUCUUGUUGUUGUCGUUUCGUUGUUGCUAUUGUUGUUGUUGUUGUUGUUGUUGUUG